RNAcentral lists this ribosomal RNA (307 nucleotides) under uncultured eukaryote. RNAcentral's name for it is "partial 18S ribosomal RNA". It matches the Rfam family "Eukaryotic small subunit ribosomal RNA", at positions 1470 to 1796 of the family's 1831-position model. The record is from RNAcentral.
CCCUUAGACGUUCUGGGCCGCACGCGCGCUACACUGACGAAGGCAACGAGCUUUCCUUUACCGAAAGGUACGGGUAAUCUUUUGAAACUUCGUCGUGCUGGGGAUAGAUCCUUGCAAUUUUUGAUCUUAAACGAGGAAUGCCUAGUAAGCGCAAGUCAUCAACUUGCGUUGAUUACGUCCCUGCCCUUUGUACACACCGCCCGUCGCUACUACCGAUUGAAUGGUUUAGUGAGGCCUUCGGAUCCGCGACUCGUUUGUGGAGAAGUUGGACAAACUCAGUCAUUUACAGGAAGUAAAAGUCGUAACA